UACGUAGGGUGCGAGCGUUAAUCGGAAUUACUGGGCGUAAAGCGUGCGUAGGCGGUUCCUCAAGUCCGUUGUGAAAGCCCCGGGCUCAACCUGGGAAUGUCAGUGGAAACUAGGGGACUGGAAUCUGGCAGAGGGGGGUGGAAUGCCGCGUGCAGCAGUGAAAUGCGUAGAGAUGCGGCGGAACACCGAUGGCGAAGGCAGCCCCCUGGGCUGAGAUUGACGCUCAGGCACGAAAGCGUGGGGAGCAAACAGG
RNAcentral lists this ribosomal RNA (253 nucleotides) under uncultured bacterium. RNAcentral describes it as "partial 16S ribosomal RNA". It matches the Rfam family "Bacterial small subunit ribosomal RNA", at positions 524 to 776 of the family's 1533-position model. The record is from RNAcentral.